RNAcentral lists this ribosomal RNA (263 nucleotides) under uncultured bacterium. RNAcentral describes it as "partial 16S ribosomal RNA". It matches the Rfam family "Bacterial small subunit ribosomal RNA", at positions 524 to 788 of the family's 1533-position model. The record is from RNAcentral.
GACGUAGGGGGCCAGCGUUGUUCGGAAUUACUGGGUGUAAAGGGUUCGUAGGCGGUGCGGCAAGUUGGGAGUGAAAUCUCUGGGCUUAACCCAGAGGCUGCUUCCAAAACUGCUGUGCUUGAGUGUGGGAGAGGCGCGUGGAAUUGCAGGUGUAGCGGUGAAAUGCGUAGAUAUCUGCAGGAACACCCGUGGCGAAAGCGGCGCGCUGGACCACUACUGACGCUGAGGAACGAAAGCUAGGGGAGCAAACAGGAUUAGAACCG